UUUCCGUAGGUGAACCUGCGGAAGGAUCAUUAAUGUAUCUCCGAGGAUCGAGGUCUCGUGUUGUCCCGAAAGGUCGGGCACGCCCGAGUUCUAUCACACUCAUCUAUCUAACACCUACGUACAUCACCGCGAGCUUGGCCAAUGUGCUUCUGUUUACGGUGGCUUACCUAUUGACACCAUCUAAUUAUGCACUGCAUAAUAUAAUUUCUGUAGUAGCUAUCACGCAAUCAAUACAACUUUCAACAACGGAACACUUGGCAACCGCAUCGAUGAAGAACC
This 279-nucleotide unclassified non-coding RNA is filed under the name plant metagenome. RNAcentral describes it as "partial contains small subunit ribosomal RNA, internal transcribed spacer 1, and 5.8S ribosomal RNA". The record is from RNAcentral.